RNAcentral lists this ribosomal RNA (253 nucleotides) under uncultured bacterium. RNAcentral describes it as "partial 16S ribosomal RNA". It matches the Rfam family "Bacterial small subunit ribosomal RNA", at positions 524 to 776 of the family's 1533-position model. The record is from RNAcentral.
UACGAAGGGGGCUAGCGUUGCUCGGAAUCACUGGGCGUAAAGGGUGCGUAGGCGGGUCUUUAAGUCAGGGGUGAAAUCCUGGAGCUCAACUCCAGAACUGCCUUUGAUACUGAAGAUCUUGAGUUCGGGAGAGGUGAGUGGAACUGCGAGUGUAGAGGUGAAAUUCGUAGAUAUUCGCAAGAACACCAGUGGCGAAGGCGGCUCACUGGCCCGAUACUGACGCUGAGGCCCGAAAGCGUGGGGAGCAAACAGG